This 253-nucleotide ribosomal RNA is filed under the name uncultured bacterium. Its description in RNAcentral is "partial 16S ribosomal RNA". It matches the Rfam family "Bacterial small subunit ribosomal RNA", at positions 524 to 776 of the family's 1533-position model. The record is from RNAcentral.
UACGUAGGUGGCAAGCGUUGUCCGGAUUUACUGGGUGUAAAGGGCGUGUAGCCGGGGGGACAAGUCAGAUGUGAAAUCUAUGGGCUCAACCCAUAAAUUGCAUUUGAAACUGUUCUUCUUGAGUACUGGAGAGGCAGACGGAAUUCCUAGUGUAGCGGUGAAAUGCGUAGAUAUUAGGAGGAACACCAGUGGCGAAGGCGGUCUGCUGGACAGCAACUGACGGUGAGGCGCGAAAGCGUGGGGAGCAAACAGG